GGGCCUGUAGCUCAGUUGGUUAGAGCACACGCUUGAUAAGCGUGGGGUCACAAGUUCAAAUCUUGUCAGGCCCACCA
RNAcentral lists this transfer RNA (77 nucleotides) under Gammaproteobacteria bacterium. RNAcentral's name for it is "tRNA-Ile". It matches the Rfam family "tRNA". From Rfam's summary of the family: Transfer RNA (tRNA) molecules are approximately 80 nucleotides in length. Their secondary structure includes four short double-helical elements and three loops (D, anti-codon, and T loops). RNAcentral also lists the same sequence under 4 other names. The record is from RNAcentral. Lineage: Bacteria; Pseudomonadati; Pseudomonadota; Gammaproteobacteria.